GUUCCUACGGGAGGCAGCAGUGGGGGAUAUUGGACAAUGGGGGAAACCCUGAUCCAGCGAUGCCGCGUGAGGGAAGAAGGUUUUCGGAUUGUAAACCUCUGUGGAGGGGGACGAUAAUGACGGUACCCCUUUAGGAAGCCACGGCUAACUACGUGCCAGCAGCCGCGGUAAUACGUAGGUGGCGAGCGUUGUCCGGAUUUAUUGGGUUUAAAGGGUGCGCAGGCGGCCUGUUAAGUCAGCGGUAAAAGCCCGGGGCUCAACCCCGGCGAGCCGUUGAAACUGGCGGGCUGGAGUUGGGGAGAAGG
RNAcentral lists this ribosomal RNA (305 nucleotides) under uncultured bacterium. RNAcentral describes it as "bacterial SSU rRNA". It matches the Rfam family "Bacterial small subunit ribosomal RNA", at positions 335 to 658 of the family's 1533-position model. The record is from RNAcentral.